Molecule: ribosomal RNA, 567 nt
Filed under: uncultured bacterium
Lineage: Bacteria
Description: partial 16S ribosomal RNA
Rfam family: Bacterial small subunit ribosomal RNA
Source: RNAcentral
UGGGGAAUAUUGCACAAUGGGCGCAAGCCUGAUGCAGCCAUGCCGCGUGUGUGAAGAAGGCCUUCGGGUUGUAAAGCACUUUCAGCGAGGAGGAAGGUGGUGAGCUUAAUACGCUCAUCAAUUGACGUUACUCGCAGAAGAAGCACCGGCUAACUCCGUGCCAGCAGCCGCGGUAAUACGGAGGGUGCAAGCGUUAAUCGGAAUUACUGGGCGUAAAGCGCACGCAGGCGGUUUGUUAAGUCAGAUGUGAAAUCCCCGGGCUCAACCUGGGAACUGCAUUUGAAACUGGCAAGCUAGAGUCUCGUAGAGGGGGGUAGAAUUCCAGGUGCAGCGGUGAAAUGCGUAGAGAUCUGGAGGAAUACCGGUGGCGAAGGCGGCCCCCUGGACGAAGACUGACGCUCAGGUGCGAAAGCGUGGGGCAGCAAACAGAUUAGNUACCCUGGUAGUCCACGCUGUAAACGAUGUCGAUUUGGAGGUUGCGCCCUUGAGGCGUGGCUUCCGGAGCUAACGCGUUAAAUCGACCGCCUGGGGAGUACGGCCNCAAGGUUAAAACUUAAAGGAAUUGAC